GCGGUCAUUGUUUAGUGGUAGAACGCGUCCUUGCCAAGGACGAGACGCGGGUUCGAUUCCCGCUGACCGCA
The sequence is a transfer RNA, 71 nucleotides long. It matches the Rfam family "tRNA". From Rfam's summary of the family: Transfer RNA (tRNA) molecules are approximately 80 nucleotides in length. Their secondary structure includes four short double-helical elements and three loops (D, anti-codon, and T loops).